This 704-nucleotide ribosomal RNA is filed under the name Bacillus sp. HPC 639. RNAcentral's name for it is "bacterial SSU rRNA". It matches the Rfam family "Bacterial small subunit ribosomal RNA", at positions 44 to 721 of the family's 1533-position model. Lineage: Bacteria; Bacillati; Bacillota; Bacilli; Caryophanales; Bacillaceae. The record is from RNAcentral.
GGGUAGUCGUACAAGGGGGUGCCUAAAUUUGCACCCGGGAGCCCAUGACGUUUUAGCUUGCUCCUCUGAUUUAGCGGCGGACGGGUGAGUAACACGUGGGCAACCUGCCCUGCAGACUGGGAUAACUUCGGGAAACCGGAGCUAAUACCGGAUAAUCCAUUUUACUUCAUGGUGAAAUGUUGAAAGGCGCUUUCGCGCCACUGCAGGAUGGGCCCGCGGUGCAUUAGCUAGUUGGUGGGGUAACGGCCUACCAAGGCGACGAUGCAUAGCCGACCUGAGAGGGUGAUCGGCCACAUUGGGACUGAGACACGGCCCAAACUCCUACGGGAGGCAGCAGUAGGGAAUCUUCCACAAUGGACGAAAGUCUGAUGGAGCAGCGCGGCGUGAGUGAUGAAGGUUUUCGGAUCGUAAAACUCUGUUGUAAGGGAAGAACAAGUACGUUAGGAAAUGAACGUACCUUGACGGUACCUUAUUAGAAAGCCACGGCUAACUACGUGCCAGCAGCCGCGGUAAUACGUAGGUGGCAAGCGUUGUCCGGAUUUAUUGGGCGUAAAGCGCGCGCAGGUGGUUUCUUAAGUCUGAUGUGAAAUCUCGCGGCUCACCGCGAGCGGUCAUUGGAAACUGGGAACUUGAGUGCAAAAAAGGAUAGUGGAAUUCCAGUGUACCGUGAAUGCGUAAAAAUUGAAGGACACCAAUGGCCAGCG